UGGGGAAUUUUGCACAAUGGGCGCAAGCCUGAUGCAGCGACGCCGCGUGAGGGAUGAAGGCCUUCGGGUUGUAAACCUUUUUCGCUCAUGGUCAAGCCGCAGCUUUGGGUUGUGGUGAGGGUAGUGGGUAAAGAAGCGCCGGCUAACUACGUGCCAGCAGCCGCGGUAAUACGUAGGGCGCGAGCGUUGUCCGGAAUUAUUGGGCGUAAAGGGCUUGUAGGCGGUUGGCCGCGUCUGCCGUGAAAUCCUCUGGCUUAACUGGGGGCGUGCGGUGGGUACGGGUUGACUUGAGUGCGGUAGGGGAGACUGGAAUUCCUGGUGUAGCGGUGGAAUGCGCAGAUAUCAGGAGGAACACCGGUGGCGAAGGCGGGUCUCUGGGCCGUUACUGACGCUGAAGCUCGAAGGUGCGGGUAUCGAACAGG
RNAcentral lists this ribosomal RNA (422 nucleotides) under Verrucomicrobiota bacterium. RNAcentral describes it as "Verrucomicrobia bacterium partial 16S ribosomal RNA". It matches the Rfam family "Bacterial small subunit ribosomal RNA", at positions 355 to 776 of the family's 1533-position model. The record is from RNAcentral. Lineage: Bacteria; Pseudomonadati; Verrucomicrobiota.